AAAAGCACUUUGGAAAGAGAGUUAAAGAGGCCGCGAAACCGUUGGGAGGGAAACGCAUGCAGCCGAACGGGCCCUCGUCGGGUUCAGGGGGCUGCGAGGAGUCGUGCGUGCAGACGGCACCCUCGCGGGUCGUCCGUGCGUCCGCGCCUCUCGCACCCUUGCACUCUCGGCGGUUGUGGCCGGCCAAGUGCGGUGGGCUCCGGACGAUGAGCGCGCGUCGGGCAGGUAGCGCAGCUGUCUCUGGCAGAGGCGAACUUACAGCCGAGCGUGCGGAGCGUCCGGCGCCUACCGAGGAGAGCGGUGGCACUUCCACCCCAGCAGCGCAGGUCCGCUUCGGCGGGCCGGAGCGCUCCCGUCCGUUCGGCAGCCGGGCCGCGUCACUGCGUGCAGUGUCCGGCCUCGGUUCGUUCGUCCGGGUGGGAGGUCGUCUCACGCCUUGCGCUGUGGUCGCUU
RNAcentral lists this ribosomal RNA (453 nucleotides) under Neophrissospongia sp. 2 AS-2014. RNAcentral describes it as "partial 28S ribosomal RNA". The record is from RNAcentral. Lineage: Eukaryota; Metazoa; Porifera; Demospongiae; Tetractinellida; Corallistidae.